RNAcentral lists this ribosomal RNA (500 nucleotides) under uncultured bacterium. Its description in RNAcentral is "partial 16S ribosomal RNA". It matches the Rfam family "Bacterial small subunit ribosomal RNA", at positions 30 to 523 of the family's 1533-position model. The record is from RNAcentral.
AUUGAACGCUGGCGGCAUGCCUUACACAUGCAAGUCGAACGGCAGCGGGGACUUCGGUCCGCCGGCGAGUGGCGAACGGGUGAGUAAUGUAUCGGAACGUACCAUUCAGUGGGGGAUAACUAUCCGAAAGGAUAGCUAAUACCGCAUAUUCUGUGAGCAGGAAAGCAGGGGAUCGCAAGACCUUGCGCUGAUUGAGCGGCCGAUAUCAGAUUAGCUAGUUGGUGAGGUAAAGGCUCACCAAGGCGACGAUCUGUAGCGGGUCUGAGAGGAUGAUCCGCCACACUGGAACUGAGACACGGUCCAGACUCCUACGGGAGGCAGCAGUGGGGAAUUUUGGACAAUGGACGCAAGUCUGAUCCAGCAAUGCCGCGUGCAGGACGAAGGCCUUCGGGUUGUAAACUGCUUUUGUACGGAACGAAAAGGUCUCUCUUAAUACGGGGGACUCAUGACGGUACCGUAAGAAUAAGCACCGGCUAACUACGUGCCAGCCGCCGCAGUAA